Molecule: ribosomal RNA, 403 nt
Filed under: uncultured bacterium
Lineage: Bacteria
Description: partial 16S ribosomal RNA
Rfam family: Bacterial small subunit ribosomal RNA
Source: RNAcentral
GACGAACGCUGGCGGCGUGCCUAAUACAUGCAAGUCGAACGCAGUGGGGACGGGUGAGUAACACGUGGUUAACCUCCCAUCAGAGGUGAUAACACUUUGACACAGGUGCUAAACCGCUACUGCUGGAUGACACCUCUGUGCAUUAGCUAGGUGGGGAGGUAACGGCUCACCAAGGCCACGAUGCAUCGCCGACCUGAGAGGGUGAUAGGCCACACUGGGACUGAGACACGGCCCAGACUCCUACGGGAGGCAGCAGUAGGGAAUCUUCGGCAAUGGACGAAAGUCUGACCGAGAAACGCCGCGUGAGUGAAGAAGGUGUUCGGAUCGGAAAACUCUGUUGUUAGAGAAGCGGUAUCUAACCAGAAAGCCACGGCUAACUACGUGCCAGCAGCCGCGGUAAUAC